UCCCUGGUGGCUAAGAUGGUGAAGCAUCUGCCGGCAAUGCAGGAGACCCAGGUUCGAUCCCUGGGUUGGGAA
RNAcentral lists this transfer RNA (72 nucleotides) under Bos taurus (domestic cattle). It matches the Rfam family "tRNA". From Rfam's summary of the family: Transfer RNA (tRNA) molecules are approximately 80 nucleotides in length. Their secondary structure includes four short double-helical elements and three loops (D, anti-codon, and T loops). Lineage: Eukaryota; Metazoa; Chordata; Mammalia; Artiodactyla; Bovidae. The record is from Rfam by way of RNAcentral. RNAcentral also lists the same sequence under 2 other names.